RNAcentral lists this ribosomal RNA (426 nucleotides) under uncultured bacterium. RNAcentral's name for it is "bacterial SSU rRNA". It matches the Rfam family "Bacterial small subunit ribosomal RNA", at positions 27 to 444 of the family's 1533-position model. The record is from RNAcentral.
GAACGAACGCUGGCGGCGCGCCUAAUACAUGCAAGUCGAGCGAGAAGACGUAGCAAUACGUUUGUAAAGCGGCGAACGGGUGAGGAAUACAUGGGUAACCUACCCUCGAGUGGGGAAUAACUAGCCGAAAGGUUAGCUAAUACCGCGUACGCUCCUUGGACUUCGGUUCGAGGGAGGAAAGCGAUACCGUGGGUAUCGCGCUCUUGGAUGGGCUCAUGUCCUAUCAGCUUGUUGGGAGGUAACGGCUCACCAAGGCUUCGACGGGUAGCUGGUCUGAGAGGACGAUCAGCCACACUGGCACUGCGACACGGGCCAGACUCCUACGGGAGGCAGCAGUAAGGAAUAUUGCGCAAUGGGCGAAAGCCUGACGCAGCGACGCCGCGUGGGGGAUGAAGGUCUUCGGAUUGUAAACCCCUUUCGGGAGGG